UCAGGACGAACGCUGGCGGCGUGCCUAACACAUGCAAGUCGAGCGAGGAGAUUCCUCGGGAUGAUCCUAGCGGCGGACGGGUGAGUAACACGUGGGCAACCUGCCUCAUAGAGAGGAAUAGCCUUCCGAAAGGGAGAUUAAUACCUCAUAACAUUGCAGUUUCGCAUGGAACAGCAAUUAAAGGAGCAAUCCGCUAUGAGAUGGGCCCGCGGCGCAUUAGCUAGUUGGUGAGGUAACGGCUCACCAAGGCGACGAUGCGUAGCCGACCUGAGAGGGUGAUCGGCCACAUUGGGACUGAGACACGGCCCAGACUCCUACGGGAGGCAGCAGUGGGGAAUAUUGCACAAUGGGGGAAACCCUGAUGCAGCAACGCCGCGUGAGUGAUGACGGCCUUCGGGUUGUAAAGCUCUGUCUUCAGGGACGAUAAUGACGGUACCUGAGGAGGAAGCCACGGCUAACUACGUGCCAGCAGCAGC
Molecule: ribosomal RNA, 476 nt
Filed under: uncultured bacterium
Lineage: Bacteria
Description: bacterial SSU rRNA
Rfam family: Bacterial small subunit ribosomal RNA
Source: RNAcentral